UUGCCAUGAUUCACCUCUCCAUCAGGUGUUGAGUGGACGUGCCGGCUGGCCCGCAAUGCCGGCCGGCACGCUU
This 73-nucleotide small RNA is filed under the name Aromatoleum aromaticum EbN1. RNAcentral describes it as "Plasmid transferred anti-sense RNA". It matches the Rfam family "Plasmid transferred anti-sense RNA". Lineage: Bacteria; Pseudomonadati; Pseudomonadota; Betaproteobacteria; Rhodocyclales; Rhodocyclaceae. The record is from Rfam by way of RNAcentral.